UCCGUAGGUGAACCUGCGGAAGGAUCAUUACCUGGCCUUGGGCCGCUCGCGGGAGCUAGUCGCUUGCGACGACGCUACCGAGGGCGCUUAGCCCUUGACUAUCACCUUGACUACGUGCACCUUUUGUUGUUUCCUCGGCAGGUCACCUGCCGCCAGGAACCCCCUAAACCUUUUGCAAUAGCAUCCAAACUUCUGAAAACAAACCAAAUUAUUUACAACUUUUAACAAUGGAUCUCUUGGUUCUGGCAUCGAUGAAGAACGCAGCGAAAUGCGAUAGUAGAUGUGAAUUGCAGAACCGUGAGUCAUCAGAUCUUUGAACGCAACUGGCGCUAGGUGGCUAUCCACCCAGCAUGCUUGUUUCAGUGUCUCAUUUUCUCCUAACCAAAAUCUUAAUGCUUGAGAUACCCUUCUCUUGCUAAGUACGAAAGCACUCUGAGCCCUGCAGGUGAUUUGGCUUCGGCCAAGGUCACACUCAAUGCAGCAGUCACAUUUCUGAUGUGAACUCAUUGAGAGUAGAGUCAGCGCAGUUUAUCUGCAAGUGCUUAGGCCCUCAAACUCUAUCAGGCAUCUGGAAAUCAAGGCAGGGGGAUCACCCGGCUGGAACUUAAGGCAUAUCAAUAAGGCGGGGAGGGG
RNAcentral lists this ribosomal RNA (633 nucleotides) under uncultured fungus. Its description in RNAcentral is "eukaryotic LSU rRNA". The stretch from base 217 to 368 matches the Rfam family "5.8S ribosomal RNA". Lineage: Eukaryota; Fungi. The record is from RNAcentral.